RNAcentral lists this ribosomal RNA (401 nucleotides) under uncultured bacterium. Its description in RNAcentral is "bacterial SSU rRNA". It matches the Rfam family "Bacterial small subunit ribosomal RNA", at positions 28 to 390 of the family's 1533-position model. The record is from RNAcentral.
GAUGAACGCUGGCGGCGUGCCUAAUACAUGCAAGUCGAACGCAUUGUGGUUGAAAUGAUAUGAAGAACUUGUUCAGAUUUGAUUUUCAACAUUGCAAUGAGUGGCGAACGGGUGAGUAACACGUGGGAAACCUACCUCUUAGCAGGGGAUAACAUUUGGAAACAAAUGCUAAUACCGUAUAAUAAUUAAAAACCGCAUGGUUUUAGUUAAAAGAUGGUCUUGCUAUCACUAAGAGAUGGUCCCGCGGUGUAUUAGUUAGUUGGUGAGGUAAUGGCUCACCAAGACAAUGAUACAUAGCCGAGUUGAGAGACUGACCGGCCACAAUGGGACUGAGACACGGCCCAUACUCCUACGGGAGCAGCAGUAGGGAAUCUUCCACAAAUGGACGAAAGUCUGAUGGA